UGGCUUAGUUGGUAGAGCAUGGUGCUUGCAAUGCCGGAGUUGUGGGUUCGAUUCCCAC
RNAcentral lists this transfer RNA (58 nucleotides) under Salmo salar (Atlantic salmon). It matches the Rfam family "tRNA", at positions 8 to 63 of the family's 71-position model. From Rfam's summary of the family: Transfer RNA (tRNA) molecules are approximately 80 nucleotides in length. Their secondary structure includes four short double-helical elements and three loops (D, anti-codon, and T loops). The record is from Rfam by way of RNAcentral. Lineage: Eukaryota; Metazoa; Chordata; Actinopteri; Salmoniformes; Salmonidae.